CGCAAUGCCACGUCGUUGGGUUGCUACUUCUUCAGAGCUAAGGCAAGAAGAAAUUUUGUGGCGGGGAUGCUCCAAGCUUAAUUUUAAGAAUCUGAAAACUAUCAGUGUCACUUCAAUUUCUAUGGCUACUUCUUUGAUGCUAAGAUCCUCUCUUCUUUGGACUCUUCAAACCCAUCACAAGAACCACCAACGCCAACACGCUUUCUCCAAACCCUUCUCCGAUAUUUCUUUCUCUACUGUAUCAAAACCCACGUCUCAUUGCCUCAAUUCCUCUAAGAUGGAAGGUAGUGAAGUGACUGAGGAAAUUACAGAGCUUACAGAAACAAAAGUGAACGAGAAGAAGAAAAUAUUUGUUGCUGGGGCAACUGGAAGUACUGGUAAAAGGAUUGUCCACCAGCUACUAGCAAAGGGUUUCGAGGUCAAGGCUGGGGUUAGAGAUUUAGAGAAGGCCAAAACUACUUUUUCCAAAGAUAACCCUUCUCUUCAAAUGGUGAAAGCAGAUGUAACGGAGGGGCCUUCCAAAUUAGCAGAAGCAAUAGGAGAUGAUUCUGAGGCUGUAAUAUGCGCUACUGGAUUUCGGCCUGGUUGGGACUUGUUUGCUCCGUGGAAGGUCAGUUGGCUCUAGUUACUUCUUCUUGUUGCUAUAAUGGCUUUUAAUAGGUGUUUUUAAUCUCACUUUUAAUUUCAAGUCAUGAUUUUUUAAUGUGUUGUUUCAAUAGUUUUUGGGUUUGCGUUGUCAAUACUUUCUGUGAUGUAUCAAUUGAUAAGAGUUUCUAUUUGAGGAUAUUUUUUACUAUAAUUAGAACACUACGAAGGCCAUUCUGUACUCUGAUAGUGACCAGCUACUUAUGCUGCAAAAUCCAUUUGGUUAGAAGAGGAACCUGCAUAUUAAUGUUGCUGUUAUUACGGUGAUUGCGUUGCUGUUAUUAUGAGCAAGCACCAGUUCUGAAAUGGGAGAGGAGGGUAUCCUUAAGAGUUAAGAAAAGGCUUCUUUUAGAUGAAGACAACCACAGUUGCUGUGUAAUAAUCUAGAUACAUUAGAGUUCCAGCAUUUUUCAAAUUCAAUUAGUCAAAUAUGAUAGUAAUGUCAUGUGGUGAACAUAGCAGAUAGACACAAAAUGUGUACAAAUUUCUUCAUUCAUACCGUGGGGACAUGCAUUUGUUUAUCUGAUUGCAUGUAAAUCUCUUUGAGACUGAGUGCAUUUUAAACUGAUAUGUGUACACAGGAAGAAUGACUGCACACAAAAUUUUAAGGUUAGGAAAUUGGGUCUGGAAUUUGCAAUUGGUAGCUUUGAAAAUAUCAAUUGGUCCAGCACAUAAUCAAGAAAUCCAUCAUCCAAUUUGGUUGAAUGCACUUCAUUUUAUCAUGUAGCAAUGUGUAUGAUAGUUCUGGUGUUGCAGACCUGCAAUUAUCCAAUGGCAUUGGAUGAUAGCCUUAUUAAGUUGCUUUACUGCAGGUUGAUAAUUUUGGUACUGUUAACCUUGUUGAUGCUUGUCGUAAACUGGGUGUGAACAGAUUUAUUCUCAUCAGCUCCAUUUUAGUCAAUGGAGCAGCAAUGGGUCAGAUACUAAAUCCAGCUUACAUCUUUCUCAAUGUUUUUGGACUGACCUUAAUAGCAAAGCUUCAGGCAGAGCAAUAUAUCAGGAGAUCCGGUGUAAAUUACACCAUAAUUAGACCUGGUGGGUUGAGAAAUGACCCUCCAACCGGAAAUGUUAUUAUGGAGACAGAGGAUACUCUCUAUGAAGGAUCUAUCUCCAGAGAUUUGGUUGCAGAGGUUGCUGUUGAGGCAUUAAUCCAUCCCGAAUCAUCUUACACAGUCGUGGAAGUUGUUUCUCGGGCUGAUGCCCCUAAACGUACAUACAAGGAUCUUUUUGGUUCCAUUAAGCAGCAUUGACUGAUCUGUUCAUAGUUAAGAGGCAGCAUUAUUUUUUAUUUUUACUGCAGAUUCCAGAGCCUCAGUGACUUUCUGUUGGUGGCUAUUUGUUGUCAAUGAUUUACUUGUGAGCAGAUAAAUCAAUUUGUUUUGGCUCUUAGUAUGGUGUAAUAGUUUUCUUUGUUUUGAUGUGGUAUAACUGUUAAAAGACAUGUUUUAGAAGUAAUCUCAUUAUGUUAUCUUGUUCUUUUUCAAAUGAACAAAAGAAAGAACAAGCUUGAGCCAUGAUUGAUAUACAAAUAAAAACUAGUAAUUAGAG
RNAcentral lists this unclassified non-coding RNA (2193 nucleotides) under Hevea brasiliensis (rubber tree). Lineage: Eukaryota; Viridiplantae; Streptophyta; Magnoliopsida; Malpighiales; Euphorbiaceae. The record is from RNAcentral.